GAUAUUCUUGCUGAGCGAAGAAACUGUUCAUUUAACUGCUCUGCGAGCUGCCGUAGGGAUGCUCGCAGUUUGACAGUGAGUGCAAGGCAGCGGGCUGGUGCUAAGCCGCGGCGGAGGUGGUAACUGCAGGUUUUUAUGGGGCAUCACUAGAAGAAGUAGUCACCUUUAAGAUAGCUCUCUGAUGGAGCAGCGAUUGGAUUAUUUCUUUCCUUAACACGAAGAAAUUAUAAUCCUGUGCUGGCCAUGGACAGAAAAGGCUUGAGCUCUGCGAGAAACUGCUGAUCAAAGGCUGCUUUCCGAAUUUCUUCCUGUGCUGUGCUGAUUUCUUGCUACUUGAGAACACGGCGUAAGCUGCGUCUGCGCGUGCUGCCUUGCAGAGCUGGGGCUGUGCCGUGCUCCCCUGAAUAGAGGGGCCUCGGUCCAGCCAGCACGUCUUCUGAGCCUGACUUUGGAGUCACCUGGAGCAUGUCUUCUUCUAAAGUUACAGGCAUCUGCAGCGGCUCGUAAUGUUCACCAUGUUAUCACAGAAGUAAAUUUCAUGAAAAUUAAGCUGAGGGUAAUUAACACAUUAUUCCACUGGGCUGAAUUUGGAUUGCUUGUGUUGGAAACGCUCCCAAACAUUAGGAAACUUGGGUAUGGAAAAAUACCUCUUUAUAUACGGGAGUGAUCUAACAAAUGCUCUUUGGGUCAGUCUCGAGGUGGUUGCCUUUACAGAUGGAGCAGCGCCAAACUCGUAAAGCCUUCCAUCUUCUGAGUCCGGUCCCUGUUCCAUCGCCCCAAGUGGCGCUCCUUGUAGCGCAGGUGGUCAGGCUGCUCUCCUCAGUUGUUGGGACAUCCAUCAGCAGCAAAAUACUUCUGAGGAACAAGAAACGUUUACGUGAAUUGGCAGAGAAAAUCUCCAUCUUUGAGAGGAGCAGAAAAGACUUUUGGAAGGUGUUUGAGCAUAACCCCCAAGGAAGGAUUCACUGGCAGAUCUCAGCAGAUGCUCGCCAUUUCCACAUCUUGCGGGAUGGUUUCUGUGUGUGCAGGGGCUGCCGGUGCCACGGGAUGGGCCGAGCUUGGGGCCUCCUGGGCUGGUGAAGGCUGCCCCGGCUGGUGCUGGAGACAACCUGCUGUCUGCUCAAAGCUUCUGUAAUUUGUAAUUUCUUUUUGUAAAUUCUGUAAUUUGGCUAGUUACUGAAGGUAAAGACAUCUGGUGUGCUUCCAGAUUGGUACGUAGCAGAACGUGGCCUGUAAGAUGAGCUUCACUCAUUCUAUAAAACAAACUCCUACAGCA
This is a long non-coding RNA of Cygnus olor (mute swan), 1276 nucleotides long. RefSeq lists it as uncharacterized. The transcript has 2 exons. NCBI's taxonomy places the organism in Eukaryota, Metazoa, Chordata, Aves, Anseriformes, Anatidae. The record is from RefSeq and is a predicted model, not a curated record.